AAUGGGUCAGCGACUUAUAUUCUGUAGCAAGGUUAACCGUAUAGGGGAGCCGUAGGGAAACCGAGUCUUAACCGGGCGUUAAGUUGCAGGGUAUAGACCCGAAACCCGGUGAUCUAGCCAUGGGCAGGUUGAAGGUUGGGUAACACUAACUGGAGGACCGAACCGACUAAUGUUGAAAAAUUAGCGGAUGACCUGUGGCUGGGGGUGAAAGGCCAAUCAAACCGGGAGAUAGCUGGUUCUCCCCGAAAGCUAUUUAGGUAGCGCCUCGUGAAUUCAUCUCCGGGGGUAGAGCACUGUUUCGGCUAGGGGGCCAUCCCGGCUUACCAACCCGAUGCAAACUGCGAAUACCGGAGAAUGUUAUCACGGGAGACACACGGCGGGUGCUAACGUCCGUCGUGAAGAGGGAAACAACCCAGACCGCCAGCUAAGGUCCCAAAGUCAUGGUUAAGUGGGAAACGAUGUGGGAAGGCCCAGACAGCCAGGAUGUUGGCUUAGAAGCAGCCAUCAUUUAAAGAAAGCGUAAUAGCUCACUGGUCGAGUCGGCCUGCGCGGAAGAUGUAACGGGGCUAAACCAU
RNAcentral lists this ribosomal RNA (575 nucleotides) under Salmonella enterica subsp. enterica serovar Muenchen. RNAcentral describes it as "partial 23S ribosomal RNA". It matches the Rfam family "Bacterial large subunit ribosomal RNA", at positions 614 to 1190 of the family's 2925-position model. The record is from RNAcentral. RNAcentral also lists the same sequence under 4 other names. Lineage: Bacteria; Pseudomonadati; Pseudomonadota; Gammaproteobacteria; Enterobacterales; Enterobacteriaceae.